This 407-nucleotide ribosomal RNA is filed under the name uncultured bacterium. RNAcentral describes it as "partial 16S ribosomal RNA". It matches the Rfam family "Bacterial small subunit ribosomal RNA", at positions 28 to 526 of the family's 1533-position model. The record is from RNAcentral.
GACGAACGCUGGCGGCGUGCCUAAUACAUGCAAGUAGGACGCAGUUGCGAACGGGUGAGUAACGCGUAGGUAACUACCUAUUAGAGGGGGAUAACUAUUGGAAACGAUAGCUAAUACCGCAUACUAGUAGAUGGACCUGCGUUGUAUUCGCUAGUAGGUAGGGUAAUGGCCUACCUAGGCAACGAUACAUAGCAGAUGUGUGAUGGGGAUCUGACACACGGGGACGGGGACACGGCCCAGACUCCUACGGGGGGCAGCAGUAGGGAAUGUGCGGCAAUGGGGGGAACCCUUACCGAGCAACGCCGCGGGAGUGAAGAAGGUUUUCGGAUCGUAAAGCUCUGUUGUUAAGGAAGCGGUACUUAACCAGAAAGGGACGGCUAACUACGUGCCAGCAGCCGCGGUAAUAC